Molecule: ribosomal RNA, 382 nt
Filed under: uncultured eukaryote
Lineage: Eukaryota
Description: partial 18S ribosomal RNA
Rfam family: Eukaryotic small subunit ribosomal RNA
Source: RNAcentral
UGUAAGCGUAUACCAAAGUUGUUGCAGUUUAAACGCUCGUAGUCGGAAUUUGGCAGUUCCGGAUGUGUGCACGUCGUGUGCGCACUUCGCGGGGAUUGCUUUUGUGGUCUUGCGUAGGAUGAGGCACUUUUAUUAGUGAACGUCCUCACGCAACCACUUUUUACUGUGAGAAAAUCAGAGUGCUCAAAGCAGGCAUUUGCCGUGAAUGUAUUAGCAUGGAAUAAUAGAAUAGGACUUGGUUCUAUUUUGUUGGUUUGUUGGGACUGAGUAAUGAUUAAGAGGGACAGUUGGGGGCAUUUGUAUUUCGGUGCUAGAGGUGAAAUUCUUAGAUUACCGAAAGACAAACUGCUGCGAAAGCGUCUGCCAAGGAUGUUUUCAUUGA